Molecule: ribosomal RNA, 465 nt
Filed under: uncultured bacterium
Lineage: Bacteria
Description: partial 16S ribosomal RNA
Rfam family: Bacterial small subunit ribosomal RNA
Source: RNAcentral
ACGAACGCUGGCGGCGCGCCUAACACAUGCAAGUCGAACGAGCGAGAGAGAGCUUGCUUUCUUGAGCGAGUGGCGAACGGGUGAGUAACGCGUGAGGAACCUGCCUCAAAGAGGGGGACAACAGUUGGAAACGACUGCUAAUACCGCAUAAGCCCACGGUGCCGCAUGGCACAGAGGGAAAAGGAGCAAUCCGCUUUGAGAUGGCCUCGCGUCCGAUUAGCUAGUUGGUGAGGUAACGGCCCACCAAGGCGACGAUCGGUAGCCGGACUGAGAGGUUGAACGGUCACAUUGGGACUGAGACACGGCCCAGACUCCUACGGGAGGCAGCAGUGGGGAAUAUUGCACAAUGGGGGAAACCCUGAUGCAGCGACGCCGCGUGGAGGAAGAAGGUCUUCGGAUUGUAAACUCCUGUUGUUGGGGAAGAUAAUGACGGUACCCAACAAGGAAGUGACGGCUAACUACGUG